GUCGGGCGGGCGCGGGACCAGCCGCUGAAGCAAGACUGGGCACGUCCACCCUACGAGUGAGGAGACACUCAGCCACGGCUCUGCUAGAACUUGGACCCACGUCUCCUGACUCCUAAGCGCAGGGCUCCUGCUUUCCGAUGCAGCCACUCCCGGAGCACUUGUUCUGAACAAUUCGUACAUUCUGUAAAUUCAGCAUUCCAGCUCUAGCCUUUACCGUCGGGCAGACGGCUGUCGGAAAGGCGCUUGGCCGCUCGGAGCGCUCCAGUGAGAGAAUUACGCCUGUGGGAGUCGGCACGCAGGCGUGCACAGCAGCCGAGGAGAAACAGGAGGGAUCGUGAGGGCGUGUCACGAGGCGGGGCAGGGGCCAGGGUUGCAGCAAGUGUAGAGGUGGAGUCCGGGAGCAGCUGCUGCUCGCUGCCAGCCUGCUGUCCACCUGGUCUCCUGUUGCUCAACAAAUGCGGGAAAUCCAGCCUGUGGGCCUGCGUGGGACUCUAGCUGCGCGCACUAUCUGUGAAAAGCCGUCCUGCGCACCUUGCUCGGGCCAGGUCCUCACUGAGCUCCUCUCGCUCUCCCCCGGGACUAUGUCUUCCCUUCUGCUGGCCCCUGCUUGCCCUCUUCUCAUUACCCCCACAGCAUGAUCCAGCAAGAUUGGCCCUGGCACCAAAAGAUGUGGACUUCAGCUGUGUAGUUUACUGGGUAAAUUGGGGGUGCCGGCGACUGAGGCCUUGGCUGUCAAAGAUGAGGCUGACGGAGAGGUAGGACACCACCUCCUAGAAUACAGAUGGAUGCCUUGUCUUCCCCAGGCUCUUCUGAGACCCGACUCAGCUUAGUGAGUUGGUUGAAUGGAGCAAAAAGUCAUACUUUCCAUCAACUAGAGAUUGGUGAGGUCAGAUGAGGAGGAAGAAUCCUCUUCUCGCCGUGGGUUGCACCUCUGACUUCCAUUACAAGUUACAGUGGAAAGUCGUUGGUUGGAAACAACAUGUGGAAACUGACAGCGCAGCAAACCACUCCCAGGCAGAAAGCACACCUGAGGGGCCCGUGCCUGGAGAAUGCUCUCUCGCUGGCCACGUAGCUGAGUGAGCGAAGGUCUGUGGGUUUUCUGUGUGUUAUUUCCUGACCCAGUGAUGUGCAGUCCGUUUUUACCCCCUCUCUGCCUGUGUGCUGACCAUCACGGGAGGAGAGGCAGGGGCACUGAGGGGCCAGGGAGCAUCUCCCAACCUGAUGCAAAUUUAAGACCCUCUUUUCCAGCAGAGCCUGUGUGUAUGUAUCUAGCAGCUGGGAUUAAAAAAAAACCCUCAAGUUUCUUUUGUUCUACCUUGUUUCUCAUUAUUGUUAACUACUUCAUGUAAGUUCAGCACCAGUACUUUGGUUUGUUAGUUUUUUCAGUACUGAGAAUUGAACCCAGGAUCUUGGCAUUGAGCUACAUCUCCAGCAUCUCCCCUUGGUUAAUUUUUUUUGGUUAAUUUUUAUUUUGAAAUGGGGUCUUGUUAAGUUGCUAAAUUGCCCAAACUGGGCUGGAACUUGCAAUCCUUCUGCCUCCUCCACUCAGAGUGCUGUGAUUUGAUUGUAGGUGUGUGCCGUCACACCUGGCCACACCACAUUUACAAGCAGACCUGCACUGUACCUAUGACAUGCUUUUUGUAUUUGUUGCAGGGAUUGCCUGCUUAAUCCAUACAUCCACCCCUUCCCAUGUCUGCUCAUGGUUUGGUUGUCUCAUAGGUUUUCGGCUAAAGAAAUUAGACUUCUGUCGUCCUAAAUUUAGGCCUGAUGUCUUCAUUAUACACAUGACAUUUUUUUCUUGAGAAUAGUACUUAUUCUGUGGGGAGAGAUUUGGAACAAUGCUCGUGUGACCCUGCUUAGUCACGUCAACCAUGUCAUACACAACAGGGCAGAAGCACUGAGGAAAAAGAUAUAGCUCAAGAAGGGCCCACCCUGGGAGAGACUGACAAAGUGCACGUGUCUUUGCUCUGAUCUUCCCUCUGUGUUCACGACCUGCAGUCAUCCUCAGGAGCCUCAUGCUAACUUUUUGGGCAAAUAAUAGGCUCUAACUGGGGCUGUGUCCUUUAUACAGCUCCCCUGAUCCCAUACAUUUCCCCCCUUUUAAAACAACUUUAGAAUUAUAAUUUUAACACCAUAAAAUUCACCCAAUCGAUGAAUUUUUAGUAGAUAUAAUUUGUUUUAUGGGGGGGGAAGACAGCUACACUUGUGUUUGUGUGGGGAAGAAAGUCAUGGUCAUGUUUGUUACCCAGGUGGAGUUUGCAAAGGGAAGCAAAAUUUUCCAGAACGCUUUUGUUUUCAAACUGAAUUGUUUGCAAACCGAAGUGUUCCUGAACUGAACUGUUACUGCACAAUUGUGUAACCAUAACUGCAGUGGAAUUAGACCAAAUCCAUCACUGUGUAUGACUAUUUGUGGUCAAUCCUGACUGCCAGCCCCGGCCUCUGGGUACAGCACAGAGAUGAGCAGAAAAGGGGCAGAUAAAGCCAUGUGGCCUUCUACACACAGA
Molecule: long non-coding RNA, 2504 nt
Filed under: Heterocephalus glaber (naked mole-rat)
Lineage: Eukaryota; Metazoa; Chordata; Mammalia; Rodentia; Bathyergidae
Description: lncRNA (ENSHGLG00100042748.1)
Source: RNAcentral